Molecule: transfer RNA, 66 nt
Filed under: Tetramorium tsushimae
Lineage: Eukaryota; Metazoa; Arthropoda; Insecta; Hymenoptera; Formicidae
Description: tRNA-Cys
Source: RNAcentral
UAUAUUAUAGUUUAUAAAAAUAUUAAAUUGCAAAUUUAAAGAAAUUUAUGUAAUAAAUUAAUAUAU